RNAcentral lists this ribosomal RNA (512 nucleotides) under Torbenella orbis. Its description in RNAcentral is "partial large subunit ribosomal RNA". It matches the Rfam family "Bacterial large subunit ribosomal RNA", at positions 1819 to 2589 of the family's 2925-position model. The record is from RNAcentral. Lineage: Eukaryota; Metazoa; Arthropoda; Malacostraca; Decapoda; Munididae.
GUCUGUGUGAAGUUACAUAAAGUCUGACCUGCCCAUUGAAAAAUUAAAAGGCCGCGGUAUAUUAACUGUGCAAAGGUAGCAUAAUCAUUAGCUUUUUAAUUGAAGGCUUGUAUGAAGGGUUUGACAAAGAAAAAACUGUCUUUAUUUUAAUUUUUGAAGUUAACUUUUAAGUGAAAAGGCUUAAAUAAAUCAAAGGGACGAUAAGACCCUAUAAAUCUUAAUACUAUAUAAAUUUUUUUGUUUAUUAAUAUAUAAGUAGUAGAGAUUAGCAAAUAAAAUUAUAUGUAUUUUAUUGGGGUGAUGAGAAUAUAAAAUUAACUGUUCUUAAGAAAAACAAAGUUAUUUGAAAAAUUGGUAGAUCCUUUAUAGAGAUUAAAAGUUUAAGUUACUUUAGGGAUAACAGCGUUAUUUUUUUUGAGAGUUCUUAUCGAAAGAAGAGUUUGCGACCUCGAUGUUGAAUUAAGAAAUCUCUAUGGUGUAGGAGUUAUAGGGAGAGAGUCUGGUCGACUUUU